Molecule: unclassified non-coding RNA, 23 nt
Filed under: Chlamydomonas reinhardtii
Lineage: Eukaryota; Viridiplantae; Chlorophyta; Chlorophyceae; Chlamydomonadales; Chlamydomonadaceae
Description: small RNA Cre_2643
Source: RNAcentral
UCGAGGAGCUCUUCGUCCUCGGU